GGGAAUAUUGGACAAUGGGCGAAAGCCUGAUCCAGCAAUGCCGCGUGAGUGAUGAAGGCCUUCGGGUUGUAAAGCUCUUUUGUCAGGGAAGAAAUCCCUAGCGUUAAUACCGCUGGGGGAUGACAGUACCUGAAGAAUAAGCACCGGCUAACUACGUGCCAGCAGCCGCGGUAAU
RNAcentral lists this ribosomal RNA (175 nucleotides) under uncultured bacterium. RNAcentral's name for it is "partial 16S ribosomal RNA". It matches the Rfam family "Bacterial small subunit ribosomal RNA", at positions 357 to 524 of the family's 1533-position model. The record is from RNAcentral.